GUCAACUAGUGCGAAACACGGUCUUCCCGCAAGGGACCGGAGUCGAGGUGCUGCAUGGCUGUCGUCAGCUCGUGUCGUGAGAUGUUGGGUUAAGUCCCGCAACGAGCGCAACCCUUGUCCUGUGUUGGCAUGCCGCAAGGCGCAACUCUCAGGAGACCGCCAGCGAUAAGCUGGAGGAAGGUGGGGAUGACGUCAAGUCAUCAUGGCCUUUAUGUCCAGGGCCACACACGUGCUACAAUGGGCGGUACAAAGCGCUGCCAACCCGCGAGGGGGAGCUAAUCGCCAAAAACCGUCCUCAGUUCGGAUUGCAGGCUGCAACUCGCCUGCAUGAAGCUGGAAUCGCUAGUAAUGCUAUAUCAGAACGAUAGCGUGAAUACGUUCCCGGGUCUUGUACACACCG
RNAcentral lists this ribosomal RNA (400 nucleotides) under uncultured bacterium. Its description in RNAcentral is "bacterial SSU rRNA". It matches the Rfam family "Bacterial small subunit ribosomal RNA", at positions 993 to 1392 of the family's 1533-position model. The record is from RNAcentral.